CCUACGGGGGGCAGCAGUGAGGAAUAUUGGUCAAUGGGCGGAAGCCUGAACCAGCCAAGUAGCGUGCAGGAUGACGGCCCUACGGGUUGUAAACUGCUUUUAUACGGGAAUAACGCGCCUUACGUGUAGGGCUUUGCAUGUAACGUAUGAAUAAGGACCGGCUAAUUCCGUGCCAGCAGCCGCGGUAAUACGGAGGGUUCGGGCGUUAUCCGGAUUGAUUGGGGUUAAAGGGAGCGUAGGCGGCAUGUCAAGCGUGCUGUGAAAUGUCCGGGCUCAACCCGGGCCUUGCAGCGGAAACUGGCGUGCUUGAGUGCGCGGAAGGCAGGCGGAAUUCGUCGUGUAGCGGUGAAAUGCUUAGAUAUGACGAAGAACCCCGGUUGCGAAGGCAGCUUGCUGCAGCGGAACUGACGCUGAUGCUCGAAAGCGCGGGUAUCGAACUGGAUUAGAUACCCUAGUAGUC
Molecule: ribosomal RNA, 460 nt
Filed under: uncultured bacterium
Lineage: Bacteria
Description: partial 16S ribosomal RNA
Rfam family: Bacterial small subunit ribosomal RNA
Source: RNAcentral